GAAAAAAAAAUUGGAAUUAUACAGAGAUUAGCGUGGCCCCUGUGCAAGGAUGACAUGCAAAAUUUGUGAAGCGUUCCAUGUUAAA
Molecule: small nuclear RNA, 85 nt
Filed under: Chinchilla lanigera (long-tailed chinchilla)
Lineage: Eukaryota; Metazoa; Chordata; Mammalia; Rodentia; Chinchillidae
Source: RNAcentral